UACGGAGGGUGCAAGCGUUAAUCGGAAUUACUGGGCGUAAAGCGCACGCAGGCGGUCAGAUGAGUCGGAUGUGAAAGCCCUGGGCUUAACCUGGGAACUGCAUUCGAUACUGUCUGGCUAGAGUAUGGGAGAGGGAAGCGGAAUUUCCGGUGUAGCGGUGAAAUGCGUAGAUAUCGGAAGGAACAUCAAUGGCGAAGGCAGCUUCCUGGCCCAAUACUGACGCUCAGGUGCGAAAGCUGGGGGAUCAAACA
RNAcentral lists this ribosomal RNA (251 nucleotides) under uncultured bacterium. RNAcentral's name for it is "partial 16S ribosomal RNA". It matches the Rfam family "Bacterial small subunit ribosomal RNA", at positions 524 to 774 of the family's 1533-position model. The record is from RNAcentral.